GUACACGAGCGGCGAACGGGUGAGUAACACGUGGGUGAUCUGCCCUGCACUUCGGGAUAAGCCUGGGAAACUGGGUCUAAUACCGGAUAUGACCACUGGGUGCAUGCCUGGUGGUGGAAAGGUUUACUGGUGCAGGAUGGGCCCGCGGCCUAUCAGCUUGUUGGUGGGGUAAUGGCCUACCAAGGCGACGACGGGUAGCCGACCUGAGAGGGUGACCGGCCACACUGGGACUGAGACACGGCCCAGACUCCUACGGGAGGCAGCAGUGGGGAAUAUUGCACAAUGGGCGAAAGCCUGAUGCAGCGACGCCGCGUGAGGGAUGAAGGCCUUCGGGUUGUAAACCUCUUUCAGCAGGGACGAAGCGCAAGUGACGGUACCUGCAGAAGAAGCACCGGCUAACUACGUGCCAGCAGCCGCGGUAAUACGUAGGGUGCGAGCGUUGUCCGGAAUUACUGGGCGUAAAGAGUUCGUAGGCGGUUUGUCGCGUCGUCUGUGAAAACCCAUCGCUCAACGAUGGGCCGGCAGGCGAUACGGGCAGACUUGAGUACUGCAGGGGAGACUGGAAUUCCUGGUGUAGCGGUGAAAUGCGCAGAUAUCAGGAGGAACACCGGUGGCGAAGGCGGGUCUCUGGGCAGUAACUGACGCUGAGGAACGAAAGCGUGGGUAGCAAACAGGAUUAGAUACCCUGGUAGUCCACGCCGUAAACGGUGGGCGCUAGGUGUGGGUUCCUUCCACG
RNAcentral lists this ribosomal RNA (736 nucleotides) under Rhodococcus sp. (in: high G+C Gram-positive bacteria). Its description in RNAcentral is "bacterial SSU rRNA". It matches the Rfam family "Bacterial small subunit ribosomal RNA", at positions 87 to 837 of the family's 1533-position model. Lineage: Bacteria; Bacillati; Actinomycetota; Actinomycetes; Mycobacteriales; Nocardiaceae. The record is from RNAcentral.